RNAcentral lists this long non-coding RNA (437 nucleotides) under Phoenix dactylifera (date palm). Its description in RNAcentral is "long non-coding RNA (PDAC_LNC023039)". Lineage: Eukaryota; Viridiplantae; Streptophyta; Magnoliopsida; Arecales; Arecaceae. The record is from RNAcentral.
GAAUUCUUUAGUUGCAAGCAUACUCAAUCAAGUCACAUUCUAUACAUCAAACUGUCGCUAAGUUUAACUUUCACUGCGCAUAUAUACAACUUAGCAUAAUUAAUCAAAAAGUGCUAGAAGUAGCUUAAAAGUUUUAAAAGACCCAAUUCACCCCCCCUCUUAGGUUGUAUCUACUGGGCAACACCCUUUAGAUGAUGCCCUUUCAUGAGAGGAUGUGUGGAUGGGAUGCAUCCCUUGGAGAUGCAUCCCUACACCUAUUAUAAAUAGGUUAGCACUCCAUGGGUUUCAUCAUUCCAGUUCCACCCCACUCCUCUCUUCUUUCUUUCUUACAUUAGUUUCUUUCUUUCUAGCAUUGCUUCUAGUGUGUCCUAAGCCAAGACAAGGUGGUCUUCUUUAGGACAAAAGGAUUAGAAGUGAUUUUAGAAGGCUAAAGAAAA